Molecule: microRNA precursor, 72 nt
Filed under: Myotis lucifugus (little brown bat)
Lineage: Eukaryota; Metazoa; Chordata; Mammalia; Chiroptera; Vespertilionidae
Description: mir-9193 microRNA precursor family
Rfam family: mir-9193 microRNA precursor family
Source: Rfam by way of RNAcentral
CUCGGGCCGGGGGUCCCUCAGCCCGGAUUGUGAGAGGGCGCAGGCCAGGCCGAGGGAUCUCACUGGUGCACG